GGAUUGUGGCUCAGUGGUAGAGCACUUGCCUCAAUGUGUGAGACACUGGGUUCAAUUCUCAGUACCA
This 67-nucleotide transfer RNA is filed under the name Marmota monax (woodchuck). RNAcentral describes it as "tRNA.Undet". Lineage: Eukaryota; Metazoa; Chordata; Mammalia; Rodentia; Sciuridae. The record is from RNAcentral.